AGACCAUAGCCGAGCUUGGCAUAGCCGAGUAGAUCUACCUGUCGUAUUCUGUCCUGAUAUACCAAAUCUUAAAUUGCACUCACAUGCUUUCUAUUAUGUGUUGUGACUUUUAAAUUAUACGCAUGAUAUGAUUUUCUGGUCAUAUGCACAAUCUAAAAUAUUGAGCCUAAGGCCUCACUUUAUAUUAACUCUAACUGAGAAGGCUUUACCUCAGAUCCACAAAUGCAAAUGAAUAGCAUUCAAGCCAAAGUGAUCAUUGUCCCAGUAAAACGGACGUUGUUGAAUUUAUUUCCCGACUUUACGACCAGGACAGAGAUCCUCCGAAGAAGUGCAUAUGUAGAAGCAGUAAACGGAAGUCGGUUUAUUUGGCCAACGCAACCGCGUCAGACAACCUGGGAACGAAGAGCAGCAGCAUCACGCAAGAGGAAAAGUUGGGACCAGGCAAAGUCAUCCCGGGAUCUGGGAUGUACGUUGUAACUUAUGGCUGGUCGUUACCACCACUGAACUCGCCGGAUGCUGAAUGAAACGAAGAGUGAAAGUGAGAAGAAAGUGAGCGUGUGCAAAUACCCAUCACACUGCCCAUGAAACCAGCGACGCACUUCGCUACCAUUUCAGCUCACAUGAAGAAAGCAGCAUAACCAUUUGGGCGAAAAAAAUAUUCUGGACAGAGUAGAAAGAAAGUAUGGGCGUCUUAUAUCACAUACGCAUACCGCACCCAACAUAAAAAAGGAAUGAAUUAAAACCAUAUCCGUCAUGCAUCCCUGACUUUUGUGUUAUUAGAUUGCUUCUUCCUCUUAAACUGGCAAUGAUUCAAUUUGGAUAUAACACCACAUCCACAUCGUCGUAAUAAUAAGUAAUUUAAAUAUACCAAUUUUUGGGUUGCUCAAGUUUAUGUACACGAUUACUGCUCCCAUAAACCGCCUUGUAAUAAGAGAUAAAUAAACCAAAACCGCAGUGCCUGUGGUUGUUCUCUUUUCUGAAUUACCACUGAACUACCAAGGAUAAGGCCACACAGCGACAAAACCAGAGUUUUAAGAAGUAAUAGGAGAGAAAGGAAGGAUUCGUUCAGCGAAUACUCCACUUUUUCAUAUAGCGUAAUACAUAUACGAAGCAUAGCAUUACAUCACAUCGCAUUUCCAGCCUUUUCAGUGGGAAGCAAUAUCGGGAGUGAAUAAAAGCAGCUCCAUCAGAGAAGAAGAGCGAGGCGAAGGGCGAGUCGAUACGAGCGAACUGCUCAGUCUCAAUCCAACCAGCUCCACUGCAAACACACCUUGCUUCCACUUCCCAACAGUGUGCAAUUCAAUCCUGCAGUUGCUAAAAUACACUUAAUUUGACAAUCCAUUCAUUCAUUCAUUCCAUCUCAUCGCCAAAGAAGACGCCGCUUUUCAAAGCAGUAUUGACACUGAGAAAUUGAAUCGGAUUCGCAAUGGCACACCCAAGCACUCAGCUCGCAGCCAACAGUCCCAAAAAGACACCACAGUCAACCCCAGCAAAGACUUCUGGCACGAACCCAUCCGAAGAAGUCGCGAUCGACGACUCAAAUAAAGCCACGACGGCGUCAGAGGCGACCGUGUCCAGUCUUGGGAACAUUCAAUUCCCAAUGAUCAUUCCAAUUAUACAAAGAUUCGGAUGUCUUCGAAUCUUUCGAUUUUCUUCGCUCCUACUUGGCAUGCAUUGUUAAUCUCGAAAUAAUGACGUCAUAUUCGAUUUUUGAAUUUCUAGAAUUCUCAUCGGAAAUUGUAAACGAGUGCUACCAUGCAAAACAAAUGGUCAACUUUAAGAAAUCACGCAAAAUUCAAGACCACAAUCGUCGUUUCUUCAGCAGUAUUUUUAGAGGGACUAAUUGUAAAUAUCAUAAUAAAUUGUUUGUAAACUAGAAACAAACUUUUAGAAACAUGUUGAAAUUAGAAUGUAUACGUUGUGAUGUUUCCCAGUUUUACAUGUGACAAUGAAAUGGCUAUACUUUCCUUAAUUUACAUAUGUACUGUUUCAAUAUGAUUUAAUUUGGUAAUGUUGGUGUAUCAAUUUCUGUGCAUUAUUAUUUGUACUCUUAUCAUUGCCCUAGUGCCAUACAUAGACCUUGAUUAUUAUUGUUAGUAUAUUGCAACAGAAGGAUCGAGAUCAAUUGAAUUGUCUAAUUAAUCAUAAUUCUUUAUUAUUCCGAAAACAAUGGUUUGUAAUUUAAGGCCAAAUUUAACAAAACUACUGUAGCUCAAGUACGUAGUUUUGUUUUGCCUAGAUUUUGAUCCGUAAAGUUUUAAGAAAUUGUGUCAAUUCCAUCGAGUUAAUAUGUAGAACUGCACAAAUUACCAUGAACAUUUCGAAUUUUGACAUCCAAUCAAUCAAUCAUCAAAUAAUCUAGUCAAUGAUUGUAACGAAUUAACUGUUUCACUAUCUUUCUCUGAAAUCCAGCAAUAUUCUCAUCGUAUACAAUAUAACAUUACAAUAGCUCCAUAGCCUUAAACAAAUGAAUUUCUGAGAGUUCAAAUUUUGUGUUACAAGAGCACAUCAAUCAAUGAAACGGAUCCAGAAGGUUAACAAUAAUUUCCAACACGUCCAAUGCAGUAGAUGACACAAUUACAUUUUAUAGGAGUUUCUCUCACAAAUUCGAAAAAUCGGGUCAUUGACAACGUUCUUAUUCAGAGAUGAAUAAUAAAAUAUUUUAUACUUUUGAAAAAGCUUUUAUUUGUACAUUUGAAAUGAUCAAGUUUUUCUUCCAUGAGUAUAUCAAAAGUGACAUUGACACAUGGGUGACGUGUACAAAGUUGUGUUUUUGCGUGCAAAUGGUGGGUGAGAUCCCGACACCGAUAAUCUUGUAAAGAUUAGAAAGUAUGUACAUAUAAACAUAAAUAUGUGGUCCCUCUGUUUAACCCAUGGUGCGUGAAUAUCUUUGUAGUAAUACAAGUUGGCGUGCAAAGUGAGUCUGUCGAUAAUUUAUAAUCUUAUGUUAAUUGUUGUGUUCGUAAACCUGUCGUCAAAUCAGCACUCACUUUUGCUCAUUUGACAUCCUAGCCAUCCUCGGUCUAUGGAAAGUGGUUUUUGUGUAUUUAUUAGUGUUUCACAAUGGUCAAUGGUGUCGAGUCGAGCUAAAUAAACGGAAUAGUUUACGGGUUAAUAUUUAAAUUA
Long non-coding RNA from Folsomia candida, 3126 nucleotides. RefSeq lists it as uncharacterized. Lineage: Eukaryota; Metazoa; Arthropoda; Collembola; Entomobryomorpha; Isotomidae. The record is from RefSeq and is a predicted model, not a curated record. The transcript has 3 exons.